This 494-nucleotide ribosomal RNA is filed under the name uncultured soil bacterium. Its description in RNAcentral is "bacterial SSU rRNA". It matches the Rfam family "Bacterial small subunit ribosomal RNA", at positions 26 to 509 of the family's 1533-position model. The record is from RNAcentral.
AGAUUGAACGCUGGCGGCAUGCCUUACACAUGCAAGUCGAACGGCAGCACGGGAGCAAUCCUGGUGGCGAGUGGCGAACGGGUGAGUAAUACAUCGGAACGUGCCCAAUCGUGGGGGAUAACGCAGCGAAAGCUGUGCUAAUACCGCAUAAGAUCUACGGAUGAAAGCAGGGGAUCGCAAGACCUUGCGCGAAUGGAGCGGCCGAUGGCAGAUUAGGUAGUUGGUGAGGUAAAGGCUCACCAAGCCUUCGAUCUGUAGCUGGUCUGAGAGGACGACCAGCCACACUGGGACUGAGACACGGCCCAGACUCCUACGGGAGCAGCAGUGGGGAAUUUUGGACAAUGGGCGAAAGCCUGAUCCAGCCAUGCCGCGUGCAGGAUGAAGGCCUGGUGUAAACUGCUUUGUACGGAACGAAAAGUACUACUUUCUAAUAAAGUAAGGAUACAUAGACGGUACCGUAAAGAAAUAAAGACGAACCGGACUAACUACGUACG